This 248-nucleotide ribosomal RNA is filed under the name uncultured Christensenellaceae bacterium. RNAcentral's name for it is "partial 16S ribosomal RNA". It matches the Rfam family "Bacterial small subunit ribosomal RNA", at positions 524 to 771 of the family's 1533-position model. Lineage: Bacteria; Bacillati; Bacillota; Clostridia; Christensenellales; Christensenellaceae. The record is from RNAcentral.
UACGUAGGGAGCGAGCGUUGUCCGGAAUUACUGGGCGUAAAGGGUGCGUAGGCGGCCUGGUAAGUCAGAUGUGAAAUACCCGUGCUUAACAUGGGGGGUGCAUCUGAUACUGUCAGGCUUGAGUGCAGGAGAGGAAAGCGGAAUUCCUAGUGUAGCGGUGAAAUGCAUAGAUAUUAGGAGGAACACCAGUGGCGAAGGCGGCUUUCUGGACUGUAACUGACGCUGAGGCACGAAAGCGUGGGGAGCAA